This 273-nucleotide unclassified non-coding RNA is filed under the name Hevea brasiliensis (rubber tree). The record is from RNAcentral. Lineage: Eukaryota; Viridiplantae; Streptophyta; Magnoliopsida; Malpighiales; Euphorbiaceae.
GAGCUGGUGGUGUUUCAAUCCAGGUAUUGCAAUGGAGCAGUUCUCCAGAUUAGGUGUUGGAUCUAUCAUUUUGACUUCUGGCACAUUAUCUCCAAUGGAUUCCUUUGCUGAGGAAUUGAAGUUAGAUUUUCCAGUCCGUUUAGAGAACCCUCAUGUUAUAUCAGACAAUCAGAUAUGGGCUGGUGCUGUACCCGUGGGCCCUUCUGGUUAUACAUUCAACUCAUCAUAUAGGACGCGUGAUUCUAUUGAAUACAAGCAAGAGCUUGGGAAUGC